Molecule: long non-coding RNA, 118 nt
Organism: Etheostoma cragini (Arkansas darter)
Lineage: Eukaryota; Metazoa; Chordata; Actinopteri; Perciformes; Percidae
Exons: 4
Source: RefSeq, a predicted model, not a curated record
CUUAUUUACAUCUGUUCAUAUUAGUGAUCGACCGAUACUGUUUUUUCAAGGCGGAUACUGAUCCGUAGUAGUUAAUGAAACCAUUAACUGAUUUUUGGAACCAAUAUGCAUUUAUAGU